CAGCAUAUGAUGAAUUUAACCGAAAUCCAUCGCUGAGGUCCUCUGUGAGGAACCAAAAAACGAGCUUUUUAAUCCUGAUGCUAU
This is a small nucleolar RNA of Volvox carteri f. nagariensis, 84 nucleotides long. Lineage: Eukaryota; Viridiplantae; Chlorophyta; Chlorophyceae; Chlamydomonadales; Volvocaceae. The record is from Rfam.